GGGUGGGCACUCGAGGCCUGCUUAAGAUAUAGUCGGGCCCCUGGAGAAACCCAGGGGGUGAGAGAACCAAACCGUUCCGUAGGUGAACCUGCGGAAGGAUCAUU
Molecule: ribosomal RNA, 104 nt
Filed under: Gloniopsis praelonga
Lineage: Eukaryota; Fungi; Ascomycota; Dothideomycetes; Hysteriales; Hysteriaceae
Description: partial 18S ribosomal RNA
Source: RNAcentral